RNAcentral lists this transfer RNA (86 nucleotides) under Felis catus (domestic cat). It matches the Rfam family "tRNA". From Rfam's summary of the family: Transfer RNA (tRNA) molecules are approximately 80 nucleotides in length. RNAcentral also lists the same sequence under 1 other name. The record is from Rfam by way of RNAcentral. Lineage: Eukaryota; Metazoa; Chordata; Mammalia; Carnivora; Felidae.
GCCUGGGUGGCUCAGUCGGUUGAGCGUUCGACUUGGGCUCAGGUCAUGAUCUCAAUGGUUUGUGGGUUCGAGCCCCGCAUCGGGUU